Molecule: long non-coding RNA, 463 nt
Organism: Erpetoichthys calabaricus (reedfish)
Lineage: Eukaryota; Metazoa; Chordata; Cladistia; Polypteriformes; Polypteridae
Exons: 2
Source: RefSeq, a predicted model, not a curated record
AAGCCUUACUUUCCUCUUCCUGUUCGUAGCUCUUGCAGUUGGUAUUGCGCAUCAGGAUUUAUUGCAAGUUUGAGCGAUUUUCUUUGUAAUGAUGCCCACCAUUUGUCCUCAUUGUGAAACUUGGCAGCCAGUCAUGCCAGAGUUAAAUGGUUUAUAUUUCAGGGCAUCCAUUCUUAAUACCUCACAGAAAGAAAUUAAAAAAUUGUGAGAUGCCAAGCUCCUUGUUUCCAGUUCAUGGGCAAGCUAAGAAAGUGGGCAUGGACAUUAGGAUAGACGGGUGUGGUCACAUAAGCUUCUUCAUCUCAGAUUACACACAGACGGCAACCUGACUGGGAUUUGAACCCAGUCAUAGCUGCUGGUGUAGUUCGCUUUUGGGCUGAUCCUUUAGUACAGUGUGAUAAAGUAGCAGUUGUAAAAAUAUAUAACAAAAAGAAAUGAAAAAACAAAAAUAAUAAUACAAAAA